CACGCUACGUGUGAAUCAUCGAAUCUUUGAACGCACCUUGCACUUGAAGAGUCAAUCUUCAAGUAUACCUGUUUGAGUAUCAUAUCAUUACCUCCAAAAGCUUCUUUUGAAAAAAGGAAGUUGAUGGGAUUUGAGAGUUCAGAUUGCUCCGGCGUUGCCUCUUUAAAUGUAUGAAAGAAAGGGAGAUAUUUUGCUUCGGCGAAACAUCUAGAGUUUGUGGAAGUAAUUCAUUCAAGCUUGAACAUCUUUUUCUUUUUUUGCUGGCAACUGCUUCGCAGUUGGAUAAGUAAAAACAAAUUCUGAAAUCAACUCUGUAAUGUAAUGUAAAGAGUUGCCAAAGAAAGAAAAAUGAUCUCAAAUCAGGCAAGAUUACCCGCCGAACUUAAGCAUAUCAAUAAGCGGAGG
Molecule: ribosomal RNA, 405 nt
Filed under: uncultured Glomerellales
Lineage: Eukaryota; Fungi; Ascomycota; Sordariomycetes; Glomerellales
Description: eukaryotic LSU rRNA
Rfam family: Eukaryotic large subunit ribosomal RNA (bases 350-405)
Source: RNAcentral